This 460-nucleotide ribosomal RNA is filed under the name uncultured bacterium. RNAcentral describes it as "partial 16S ribosomal RNA". It matches the Rfam family "Bacterial small subunit ribosomal RNA", at positions 338 to 795 of the family's 1533-position model. The record is from RNAcentral.
ACUACGGGCGGCAGCAGUGAGGAAUAUUGGUCAAUGGGCGAGAGCCUGAACCAGCCAAGUAGCGUGAAGGAUGACUGUCCUACGGGUUGUAAACUUCUUUUAUAUGGGAGUAAACUGAGGCACGUGUGCGCUUUUGUAUGUACCCUAUGAAUAAGGAUCGGCUAACUCCGUGCCAGCAGCCGCGGUAAUACGGAGGGUCCGAGCGUUAUCCGGAUUUCAUUGGUUUAAAGGGAGCGUAGGUGGGUUGGUAAGUCAGUUGUGAAAGUUCCGGGCUCAACCGUAAAAUUGCAGUUGAUACUGGCAGUCUUGAGUACAGUUGAGGUAGGCGGAAUUCGUGGUGUAGCGGUGAAAUGCUUAGAUAUCACGAAGAACUCCGAUUGCGAAGGCAGCUCACUGGACUGCAACUGACGCUGAGGCUCGAAAGUGUGGGUAUCAAACAGGAUUAGAUACCCGUGUAGUC